Molecule: ribosomal RNA, 305 nt
Filed under: uncultured bacterium
Lineage: Bacteria
Description: bacterial SSU rRNA
Rfam family: Bacterial small subunit ribosomal RNA
Source: RNAcentral
UGUUUCCUACGGGGGGCAGCAGUGGGGAAUAUUGCACAACGGGGGAAACCCUGAUGCAGCGACACCGCGUGAGUGAAGAAGUAUUUCGGUAUGUAAAGCUCUAUCAGCAGGGAAGAAAAUGACGGUACCUGACUAAGAAGCCCCGGCUAACUACGUGCCAGCAGCCGCGGUAAUACGUAGGGGGCAAGCGUUAUCCGGAUUUACUGGGUGUAAAGGGUGCGUAGGUGGCAGGGCAAGUCAGAUGUGAAAGCCCGGGGCUCAACCCCGGUACUGCAUUUGAACCUGUCCAGCUGGAGUGCAGGAGG